GCACCACAAGGGGUGAAGCCUGCGGUUCAAUUGGACUCAACGCCGGGAACCUUACCGGGAGCGACAGCAGAUUGAAGGUCAAGCUGAAGACUUUACCAGACGAGCUGAGAGGAGGUGCAUGGCCGUCGCCAGCUCGUGCCGUGAGGCGUCCUGUUAAGUCAGGCAACGAGCGAGACCCCUACUUCUAAUUGCUACCAGAUAUCGCAAGGUGUUUGGAGCUAGUUAGAAGGACUGCCGCCGCUAAGGCGGAGGAAGGAAGGGGCCACGGCAGGUCAGUAUGCCCCGAAACUCCCGGGCCACACGCGGGCUGCAAUGGUAAGGACAAUGGGUUCCCACCUCGAAAGAGAGAGGCAAUCCUCAAACCUUACCCCAGUUGUGGCUGAGGGCUGCAACCCGUCCUCACGAAUCUGGAAUCCCUAGUAACCGCGUGUCACCAUCACGCGGUGAAUACGUCCCUGCUCCUUGCACACACCGCCCGUCGCUUCACCGAAGUUGGACUAGGACGAGGUGGCGUCUUGUUGGCGCUAUCGAAUCUUAGUUCGGCAACGGGGGAG
Molecule: ribosomal RNA, 554 nt
Filed under: uncultured archaeon OS-28
Lineage: Archaea
Description: bacterial SSU rRNA
Rfam family: Archaeal small subunit ribosomal RNA
Source: RNAcentral